GAUGAAGAACGUAGCGAAAUGCGAUACUUGGUGUGAAUUGCAGAAUCCCGUGAACCAUCGAGUCUUUGAACGCAAGUUGCGCCCGAAGCCAUCAGGUUGAGGGCACGUCUGCCUGGGCGUCACAUAUCGUUGCCCAAUGCCUAUUGCAGUGCAAUAGGAAUUUCUAGGGCGAAUGAUGGCUUCCCGUGAGCGUUGUUGCCUCGCGGUUAGUUGAAAAUCGAGUCCUUGGUAGGGUGUGCCAUGGUAGAUGGUGGUCGAGUUAGAACGAUACCGAUCAUGUGCAUGCUCCCCAAAAUAUGGCCUCUAUGACCCACACGCGUCUUUUGACGCUCAUGACGAGACCUCAGGUCAGGCGGGGCUACCCGCUGAAUUUAAGCAUAUCAAUAAGCGGAGGA
RNAcentral lists this unclassified non-coding RNA (395 nucleotides) under soil metagenome. Its description in RNAcentral is "partial contains 5.8S ribosomal RNA, internal transcribed spacer 2, and large subunit ribosomal RNA". The stretch from base 1 to 122 matches the Rfam family "5.8S ribosomal RNA", at positions 35 to 154 of the family's 154-position model. The record is from RNAcentral.